This 2825-nucleotide ribosomal RNA is filed under the name Klebsiella pneumoniae. Its description in RNAcentral is "bacterial LSU rRNA". It matches the Rfam family "Bacterial large subunit ribosomal RNA". The record is from RNAcentral. Lineage: Bacteria; Pseudomonadati; Pseudomonadota; Gammaproteobacteria; Enterobacterales; Enterobacteriaceae.
GGGUUGUGAGGUUAAGCGACUAAGCGUACACGGUGGAUGCCCUGGCAGUCAGAGGCGAUGAAGGACGUGCUAAUCUGCGAAAAGCGUCGGUAAGGUGAUAUGAACCGUUAUAACCGGCGAUGUCCGAAUGGGGAAACCCAGUGCAAUUCGUUGCACUAUCGUUAACUGAAUACAUAGGUUAACGAGGCGAACCGGGGGAACUGAAACAUCUAAGUACCCCGAGGAAAAGAAAUCAACCGAGAUUCCCCCAGUAGCGGCGAGCGAACGGGGAGCAGCCCAGAGUCUGAAUCAGCUUGUGUGUUAGUGGAACGGUCUGGAAAGUCCGACGGUACAGGGUGAUAGUCCCGUACACCAAAAUGCACAGGCUGUGAACUCGAAGAGUAGGGCGGGACACGUGGUAUCCUGUCUGAAUAUGGGGGGACCAUCCUCCAAGGCUAAAUACUCCUGACUGACCGAUAGUGAACCAGUACCGUGAGGGAAAGGCGAAAAGAACCCCGGCGAGGGGAGUGAAAAAGAACCUGAAACCGUGUACGUACAAGCAGUGGGAGCACCUUCGGGUGUGACUGCGUACCUUUUGUAUAAUGGGUCAGCGACUUAUAUUCUGUAGCAAGGUUAACCGUAUAGGGGAGCCGCAGGGAAACCGAGUCUUAACUGGGCGUUAAGUUGCAGGGUAUAGACCCGAAACCCGGUGAUCUAGCCAUGGGCAGGUUGAAGGUUGGGUAACACUAACUGGAGGACCGAACCGACUAAUGUUGAAAAAUUAGCGGAUGACUUGUGGCUGGGGGUGAAAGGCCAAUCAAACCGGGAGAUAGCUGGUUCUCCCCGAAAGCUAUUUAGGUAGCGCCUCGUGAAUUCAUCUUCGGGGGUAGAGCACUGUUUCGGCUAGGGGGUCAUCCCGACUUACCAACCCGAUGCAAACUACGAAUACCGAAGAAUGUUAUCACGGGAGACACACGGCGGGUGCUAACGUCCGUCGUGAAGAGGGAAACAACCCAGACCGCCAGCUAAGGUCCCAAAGUCAUGGUUAAGUGGGAAACGAUGUGGGAAGGCACAGACAGCCAGGAUGUUGGCUUAGAAGCAGCCAUCAUUUAAAGAAAGCGUAAUAGCUCACUGGUCGAGUCGGCCUGCGCGGAAGAUGUAACGGGGCUAAACCAUGCACCGAAGCUGCGGCAGCGACACUAUGUGUUGUUGGGUAGGGGAGCGUUCUGUAAGCCUGCGAAGGUGUGCUGUGAGGCAUGCUGGAGGUAUCAGAAGUGCGAAUGCUGACAUAAGUAACGAUAAAGCGGGUGAAAAGCCCGCUCGCCGGAAGACCAAGGGUUCCUGUCCAACGUUAAUCGGGGCAGGGUGAGUCGACCCCUAAGGCGAGGCCGAAAGGCGUAGUCGAUGGGAAACAGGUUAAUAUUCCUGUACUUGGUGUUACUGCGAAGGGGGGACGGAGAAGGCUAUGUUAGCCGGGCGACGGUUGUCCCGGUUUAAGCAUGUAGGCUGGUUGUCCAGGCAAAUCCGGAUAAUCAAGGCUGAGGUGUGAUGACGAGGCACUACGGUGCUGAAGUAACAAAUGCCCUGCUUCCAGGAAAAGCCUCUAAGCAUCAGGUAACAUCAAAUCGUACCCCAAACCGACACAGGUGGUCAGGUAGAGAAUACCAAGGCGCUUGAGAGAACUCGGGUGAAGGAACUAGGCAAAAUGGUGCCGUAACUUCGGGAGAAGGCACGCUGGUGUGUAGGUGAAGUCCCUGCGGAUGGAGCUGAGACCAGUCGAAGAUACCAGCUGGCUGCAACUGUUUAUUAAAAACACAGCACUGUGCAAACACGAAAGUGGACGUAUACGGUGUGACGCCUGCCCGGUGCCGGAAGGUUAAUUGAUGGGGUUAUCCGUAAGGAGAAGCUCUUGAUCGAAGCCCCGGUAAACGGCGGCCGUAACUAUAACGGUCCUAAGGUAGCGAAAUUCCUUGUCGGGUAAGUUCCGACCUGCACGAAUGGCGUAAUGAUGGCCAGGCUGUCUCCACCCGAGACUCAGUGAAAUUGAACUCGCUGUGAAGAUGCAGUGUACCCGCGGCAAGACGGAAAGACCCCGUGAACCUUUACUAUAGCUUGACACUGAACAUUGAGCCUUGAUGUGUAGGAUAGGUGGGAGGCUUUGAAGCGUGGACGCCAGUCUGCGUGGAGCCAACCUUGAAAUACCACCCUUUAAUGUUUGAUGUUCUAACGUUGGCCCCUUACCGGGGUUGCGGACAGUGUCUGGUGGGUAGUUUGACUGGGGCGGUCUCCUCCCAAAGCGUAACGGAGGAGCACGAAGGUUAGCUAAUCCUGGUCGGACAUCAGGAGGUUAGUGCAAUGGCAUAAGCUAGCUUGACUGCGAGCGUGACGGCGCGAGCAGGUGCGAAAGCAGGUCAUAGUGAUCCGGUGGUUCUGAAUGGAAGGGCCAUCGCUCAACGGAUAAAAGGUACUCCGGGGAUAACAGGCUGAUACCGCCCAAGAGUUCAUAUCGACGGCGGUGUUUGGCACCUCGAUGUCGGCUCAUCACAUCCUGGGGCUGAAGUAGGUCCCAAGGGUAUGGCUGUUCGCCAUUUAAAGUGGUACGCGAGCUGGGUUUAGAACGUCGUGAGACAGUUCGGUCCCUAUCUGCCGUGGGCGCUGGAGAAUUGAGGGGGGCUGCUCCUAGUACGAGAGGACCGGAGUGGACGCAUCACUGGUGUUCGGGUUGUCAUGCCAAUGGCACUGCCCGGUAGCUAAAUGCGGAAGAGAUAAGUGCUGAAAGCAUCUAAGCACGAAACUUGCCCCGAGAUGAGUUCUCCCUGAGACUUUAAGUCUCCUGAAGGAACGUU